CCAGGGGACCGGGCGGCCGCGGUGAGCUUAGGCUCAACGAGGAAAGUCCGGGCUCCACGGAACAACGGUGCCGGGUAACGCCCGGCGGCUUCGUCUUUGGACGGGGUCAGGGAUAGUGCCACAGAAAGCAUACCGCCCGGCUUCGAACGGGUAAGGUCGAAAGGGUGCGGCAAGAGCGCACCGCGUCGCUGGCAACAGCGGCGGCACGGUAAACCCCACCGGGUGCAAGACCGAAUAGGGGCGGCAUAUGGGCCUGUUCCGGCCCCGUCGCCCGGGUUGGUCGCUGGAGGCGGAGGGCAACCUCCGUCCUAGAGGAAUGGUCGCCACCUCGCGCAAGCGGGGUACAGAACCCGGCUUACAGGUCCCCUGGCAUU
RNAcentral lists this RNase P RNA (374 nucleotides) under Pseudomonadota bacterium. Its description in RNAcentral is "RNase P RNA component class A". It matches the Rfam family "Bacterial RNase P class A". Rfam says of the family: Ribonuclease P (RNase P) is a ubiquitous endoribonuclease, found in archaea, bacteria and eukarya as well as chloroplasts and mitochondria. Its best characterised activity is the generation of mature 5'-ends of tRNAs by cleaving the 5'-leader elements of precursor-tRNAs. Lineage: Bacteria; Pseudomonadati; Pseudomonadota. The record is from RNAcentral.